This 271-nucleotide ribosomal RNA is filed under the name uncultured bacterium. RNAcentral describes it as "partial 16S ribosomal RNA". The record is from RNAcentral.
CUGCUGCCUCCCGUAGGAGUUUGGACCGUGUCUCAGUUCCAAUGUGGGGGACCUUCCUCUCAGAACCCCUAUCCAUCGUCGUCUUGGUGGGCCGUUACCCCGCCAACUAACUAAUGGAACGCAUCCCCAUCGAUAACCGAAAUUCUUUAAUAUCAAGAUCAUGCGACCUUGAUAUCCUAUCGGAUAUUAAUCUUUCUUUCGAAAGGCUAUCCCCGAGUUAUCGGCAGGUUGGAUACGUGUUACUCACCCGUGCGCCGGUCGCCAUCGGAAG